Linepithema humile (Argentine ant) is the source of this 718-nucleotide non-coding RNA. The record is from RefSeq and is a predicted model, not a curated record. NCBI's taxonomy places the organism in Eukaryota, Metazoa, Arthropoda, Insecta, Hymenoptera, Formicidae.
GCGAUCCAGCAUGCUGUCGUCUUUUGGCCGAGCAGAGUGAAAGACGUCUCUUAAACUCGCGAUUUACUUAGGCAUGUAAAAUUGAACAAAAAAUUUAGCCAUCUUAAACUCGAUUCUUCUUAGGAAAAAAAAAUCUGUCAGAACUUGAUCAACACGUAUAGUCAUUAUUGAUAAUAAAAUUUUCAAAGAAGAAGAAAUUAAAUUGAUCAAACGUAAAUACUAGAAAUUCAAUCAGGACACACACAAGAAAAUGGGUUUCAACACAAGCUUGUUAUUUCUACUUAUCACCUUUAGCAUAUUGACGCAUGAGACACUAGCGUUCAUUUUUUAUCCUGAAAGUGAAUGUUCCUAUGGUUUUGACGUACCGAAUUGCGGCCAAGAAUGGAAGGUGAGAUGGUGGUAUAAUGCAUCGAAAUGGAGAUGUCAAAGGUCUUUUUAUAGUCCAUGCAAAGGACAUGAAAUAAAUUAUUUUCGCUCUCAGUUCGCCUGCGUUUUCUCAUGUAUACAUCACUUAUAUUUUCCAAUACUAGGCAUUAAACUUUUAUUCGAGUAAUUUAUGUAUUGAUAUGUAUUUAUAACAGUUUGAUAUUGAGUUUAAAUAGAAGUACUAAAUGAGAAACUUUGUGAAGUCUUUCUAAAAUGCAAUUGCAAAAGUGUUUUAUUUUUACAAUAAUGACUAAUUAAAAGAAAUGUACGGAUAUAUAUACAUAUAUAUAUU